This is a long non-coding RNA of Amphibalanus amphitrite, 865 nucleotides long. RefSeq lists it as uncharacterized. The transcript has 2 exons. The record is from RefSeq and is a predicted model, not a curated record. Lineage: Eukaryota; Metazoa; Arthropoda; Thecostraca; Balanomorpha; Balanidae.
GGAUCACAGUGGUCUUUGAGCAAGUCACAAUUCAGGUCACCGCAGAUCACCAGUGGGACCCCGGGAAAGUCAACCAGUAUACGGUGCAGCUGCAUCUCCAGGUCAUUGAAGUCGUCCUGCAGGGCAGCUACUGUGUACCGGGGCGGCCGGUACAGGGAGCCGAUGACGAGCUGACGUCCCCGAUCAAGCUUAACCCGCGCCCAGCACGACUCCAGCCUGCUGUUGGGGCUUCCGGAACCAGCGAUCUUGAGGUUGGAUGUGGUUAAACCGGUCUUGGUAAGGAUGGCCACGCCGCCGUACCCCCGUCCGUCGGGCCGAUCCGUACGGCUGAUGGUGUAGCCGGGAAGAACGACGAGUCGGCUAGGAGUGGAGGGUCUCAGCCACGUCUCGGAAAGGAGCACGGCAUCGAAGUCGCGACGUCGCAGCACGUCCGAGAGCUCUAGGAGUUUGGGCUUCAGGCUCUGAAUGUUCAGUGCCGCGAUGUGCAGACAGGCGUGUGCCGCUCCCCGCACGCGGCGGCGGCGGCCCCUCUGUGGCCCGCGCACCGCGCCGCCGCGGUCUCCUCCCUCUACCCUGCCUCGGUCGCGGCCCGGCUCGGUCACCGGCAGAGACGGUGAUUCACUAAUCUCGAACAGAGACGUCACGGACGGGAUAGUUCGUCAGUCGCGACCGGAACAAAUAUGACGUCAUUGGUAGUCAGGAACGGAAAUUAUGACGUCAUACAUAGUCACGAAUAAACAUAUUGUCAACAAAAAUCAGAUAAAACUUGUCACGUCAUAACUAGCUGUGAGGAACUAUGAUGAAGUCGUCAACAAUGAAGUGCUUACAUAAUGAUGGAUCACCAAAAAUAAAGAGCAAAUAGGUA